Molecule: long non-coding RNA, 571 nt
Filed under: Homo sapiens (human)
Lineage: Eukaryota; Metazoa; Chordata; Mammalia; Primates; Hominidae
Description: HSALNT0304531
Source: RNAcentral
AUUCCUCAGCCCUAGGACAGCCAGUCAGACUGGAGCCGUGACCUACAGCUUUCACCCAGAGUACCAUGAAAACUUUAUCAGUUCUGGGCUCCUGACUACAAAGAUGCCUGGUGACUCAAGUUAUGUCAAAUAACGGGGGAUUAACUGUGAGGACACAAGUGGAAAGACAGAAUCAGGGCCACUUGGCCAGGUCCCCUGGGAAUACUGACAAAGUCAGACCUCAUGUUUGAUUGAGGUGAGGGAAAUGGCAGCAGCAGGAGUGAGUACAUAAGAGAAAUGCUACAGCAUCAAGAGGAGCUGCAGGCAGACUCUCCUCACCCCAGAAGCCAACACAGGAGGGCCUGGGGUUCAUACCAGGCCAUUGUCCUCCCCUGUCCAGAGAAUUGCUGAGAAGUAAACUGAGGUUUGUUCAAGCAAGGAUAAAGAAUAACGGGUUCUCCUUGGGACACGUAUCAUGUCAAGGAAGGGCCAAGCUUGACCUCCGUAGCUGUAUUCCUAGCUCUAACCUCCUCACGAAGGGGCUGAAACACUGACUUAAUCCAUGUGUCGAAGCGUGUCAUCCUCAGAACUA